AGUCGUACGCUUCUUUUUCCACCGGAGCUUGCUCCACCGGAAAAAGAAGAGUGGCGAACGGGUGAGUAACACGUGGGUAACCUGCCCAUCAGAAGGGGAUAACACUUGGAAACAGGUGCUAGUACCGUAUAACAAUCGAAACCGCAUGGUUUUGAUUUGAAAGGCGCUUUCGGGUGUCGCUGAUGGAUGGACCCGCGGUGCAUUAGCUAGUUGGUGAGGUAACGGCUCACCAAGGCCACGAUGCAUAGCCGACCUGAGAGGGUGAUCGGCCACAUUGGGACUGAGACACGGCCCAAACUCCUACGGGAGGCAGCAGUAGGGAAUCUUCGGCAAUGGACGAAAGUCUGACCGAGCAACGCCGCGUGAGUGAAGAAGGUUUUCGGAUCGUAAAACUCUGUUGUUAGAGAAGAACAAGGAUGAGAGUAACUGUUCAUCCCUUGACGGUAUCUAACCAGAAAGCCACGGCUAACUACGUGCCAGCAGCCGCGGUAAUACGUAGGUGGCAAGCGUUGUCCGGAUUUAUUGGGCGUAAAGCGAGCGCAGGCGGUUUCUUAAGUCUGAUGUGAAAGCCCCCGGCUCAACCGGGGAGGGUCAUUGGAAACUGGGAGACUUGAGUGCAGAAGAGGAGAGUGGAAUUCCAUGUGUAGCGGUGAAAUGCGUAGAUAUAUGGAGGAACACCAGUGGCGAAGGCGGCUCUCUGGUCUGUAACUGACGCUGAGGCUCGAAAGCGUGGGGAGCAAACAGGAUUAGAUACCCUGGUAGUCCACGCCGUAAAC
RNAcentral lists this ribosomal RNA (776 nucleotides) under uncultured bacterium. RNAcentral describes it as "bacterial SSU rRNA". It matches the Rfam family "Bacterial small subunit ribosomal RNA", at positions 60 to 807 of the family's 1533-position model. The record is from RNAcentral.